Chlorocebus sabaeus (green monkey) is the source of this 2200-nucleotide non-coding RNA. The record is from RefSeq and is a predicted model, not a curated record. Lineage: Eukaryota; Metazoa; Chordata; Mammalia; Primates; Cercopithecidae.
AAGGCAUUCAGAGGCUUCUUCACGUGGGGCUUCUUUUCUUCCUCCUUUUUCACGGUGACUGGUGAUUUCCUGGGAAGGCACAUGACUGUAGGAGAGAAGAAGCACCAUGUCCCUGAAAGGACAGGGACCCAGAAGGUCCGAGGGAGUAAGUCCCAACGGAGAGGGAGAGCCUGGCUGGGAAGGCUGUGCUGCCUGCUGAGUGACACCGAGAGAGAAGAGUACAUGGCAUUUGCUGCUCAGUGCGUGGACACCCCUCUUCACAGCCUGUACCCUCCCACCCGAAAUCCAGGCUGCCGUUUACUUACGCGCUCACUGCAGGGCUCAGGCUGGGGGGUGCCGGUUCCUGCUUGACGAUGGGGGAGACGAUGGCAGGGUGGGGGAUCCCUGAGGUGGGCAGGCCAGGGUGGGCAGGAGCCACCAUGUGAGGAGAGAACCGACUGGAGACCAGGCUGUGCACCGGAUAGAAACAAAUGAUAACAGAGGGAUUCAGGCUGGAUACCUGCCACCCGGCAGAGGACACGGUGGCUCUCUGCCUUGAGGGCACAGGUAUGUCCGUGGGGCCGAGUCUGAGGACUAGAAGGCUAUUUGUCGUCUUCUAGAGAACCAGGUUUGGGAGAUGCCUAAUGCCUCUUCCCUCUCCCCACCAACACCCAGGCUGCCCAUCUGGUGCUGGAAGCAGGCGGGAUGAAACACACAAAAGGGGCGGAGGGUCAGAGACCCAGGCACGCUGGGGAAAAGAAGGGCUUAGGCUGUGGGUGACUUUUCCUCUGUCCUCAGAGUUUCCACUGUCAGGUAGAGCUGGUCCCUAAGACAGAAAUCCCCUUUCACUGUCUCCUCUCCUGACAUCAUUUCAGGAAAAAUUCAUCAUCUCCCAGUCCCUGGCUUCAGUGCAAUAUACAGACAGUCCGCAACUUAGGAUUUUUGACUUUAUGAUGGUGCAAAAACGGUAUGAAUUCAGUACUCUGUUUGACCUAGAUGGGGUUAUGUCUGGAUAAAACCAUCAUAUGUUGCAAAUAUUCUAAGGUGAAAGUGGUGUUUUCAAUGUACGAUGGGUUUAUCAGGACGUGGCUCUGUCCUAAGUCGGGGAGCACCUGUCCUCAAAAUGCUUCUGUACCAGAGCCCACGGCAGGAGGCAGAGCGCUGGGGCUUUGAAAUCCUUUUGUUGGAGAGAUGGGGACAGUGACCCUGUGGUCUCCAUUCUGACCUGGGGGUGGGAAGCGCGGGGCACAAGAAGGUGCUUGACCAAAGAGAGGUUGGGGGAAGGGUGAGCCCUAUGCUGGCUCAUUACCUGGCAAGGAAAAGCUGUUUCGUGGUCAGAAAUGGCGUGGUUGCUAAGACAAACGUGGACAGCCCCAGCCCCGGAACUCACCUGGACAUUGAGGCGUUCAUGGCGAGGGCGGGGUAAGGGUGCCGGAAGCCACCAGGAGGAAGGGAGUACAUGGGCUGGCCUUGCCUGUGAGGGUGAGGAAAUCUGGUCAGCACACUGGGAAAGCUCAGGGCAGGGGAGGAGAGGCACUUGGGAAGAGGGGAUGAGAAAUAAGGGAAGGAAGCGGGAAGGCAGAGCUGGGAGCAAGCUGCCCGGGCGGGAGCAGGGAGGCUUAGUCCUGGGCUUGCCUCUGAGGGGGCUCCACAGUGCAGGGCACGCAGGGCACAGAGGCAGGGCUCGGCGCAAGGAGGGAGCAGGGGGAAGAGAGGCUGUGGGUUCCUUACUGUGGGACGAGCCAGCCGAGGGGGUGGGGGAUUUGUCCGACAGCUCCGGGAGACAGUGGGUAAUACGGUGACAGCUCGGAUGGGUGAGGGGGCCGGGGGAUUCCUGCUUCCAAAGAGAGAUGUGUCAGACUGCCCCUCGCCCUGCCAGAGCGUCGCAACGAACAUCAAAUGGGAGCGUCCUGCCCUAUGUCCCUGCUGCUCUGCAGCCUAGCGGGCGCUUGUGGCAUCGUCCUUGCCCUCUGUCACCUCCCUAGCAGCUCUCACCAGUCAGUCAAGGACACACUCAGGGAAGGCAGGACUAAUGCACCCUUCUCUAGCUGCAUGGAUUCCAUCUCUGUGAAGAGUACCUUCCAGCUGGCUGUGAUAUAGAAGCCAGUGUCCUGGAAGAGAGGACAGGACCCACAAGAUCAAUGACAAGAGUCAUUGGUGAACUAAGUCUCUAGAAAGCCCGCCUCAUUCAUGGAGAAAUAAACUUUGGAUUCCUCCUCCA